This 30-nucleotide non-coding RNA is filed under the name Homo sapiens (human). The record is from RNAcentral. Lineage: Eukaryota; Metazoa; Chordata; Mammalia; Primates; Hominidae.
UCUCUGCCCUCCACAGACCUCCGUGCUGCC